CCAACAGAUCCUGCUGCCCACUUUUUCGUGGCUGCUGGCUCCCUGUCAUCAGGACCAAGAUUUGGGGUUCUUCAGGGUGUGAGUCACUCUAAUAAAGGCUGAGUUAUACACUGCACUGGAAACCCUGCACCAAUACCUGUACAGCCAAGCAGUAAAUACAAGGAUGACCAAUGAGAGAGCUGCUGUGUAUACUUCUGUAAAAUGCUGAAGUAAGAUUCCUGCAGUUAAUUGUAUGGAAGAACAAAAUCUGAAGACUUCAGUACUCUCCAAAUGUACUUUACCUGGCAGUUUGAAUCCCAUCAUCCCUGCUCCUCCCACCUUUAUUCCAACUGGCUUUGUUGCUGUCUCCUCAUCCAGUUUUGGUGGUGCAGAAGUGGGGCUUAAGGAAGAUAUAUGGAGGAGAAUGCGAGGGUCUUUGGGUGCGCGAGUGUGGCGAUUCUUAAGAGCGAUUCGGAACUUUUGUGCAGUGAAAUCCAAUGAGGGGGAAUCCAGCUGUAAAGGAGAUUCUCUCAAUUUCGUAUCAUUAAUAAAAGAACACUGUGUCCUAUG
This is a long non-coding RNA of Brienomyrus brachyistius, 549 nucleotides long. RefSeq lists it as uncharacterized. The record is from RefSeq and is a predicted model, not a curated record. The transcript is spliced from 3 exons. Lineage: Eukaryota; Metazoa; Chordata; Actinopteri; Osteoglossiformes; Mormyridae.